CGUCUAUAUACGUAUAGCAUAUCAAUAAGCGGAGGAAAAGAAACUAACAAGGAUUCCCCUAGUAACGGCGAGUGAAGCGGGAAGAGCUCAAAUUUGAAAUCUUCAAGGGUUUCCCUUGACGAAUUGUAGUUUAAAGAAGUGUUUUCUGUUAGAGAGGUGGUAAAAGUUCUUUGGAAUAGGACAUCAUAGAGGGUGAGAAUCCCGUAUUUGAUCACUUUCUACUAACGUUGUGAUACACUUUCAAAGAGUCGGAUUGUUUGGGAAUGCAGUCCAAAAUGGGUGGUAAAUUUCAUCUAAAGCUAAAUAUUGGCGAGAGACCGAUAGCGAACAAGUACCGUGAGGGAAAGAUGAAAAGAACUUUGAAAAGAGAGUUAAACAGUACGUGAAAUUGUCAAAAGGGAAGCGUUUGACACCAGUGUUGUUUUUCCGAAAAUCAAUUAAGAAUGGCCGGAUUUUAAGUUUCAUGACCUUAAAAGCUUGUUUCUUAUUUUUCUUGUCUUUCUUAAUGCACUUUUCGGCUAACAAGUCAACAUCAAUUUCUUUUGUUGUAAAAGGUUAAGAGGAAGGUGGCUUUACUUUCGGGUAAAGUGUUUAUAGCCUUUUAACUCUGCAAUCGGAGAGAUUGAGGUCUGCAGCGUAGAUCCUUCGGGGCUAGAUACGUUUGUGCUAAGUUAUAGCUUUUCAUAGACAACUUGUUGACUAUGUUUAGUCUUGUAGCUUACUCGCUUAUGGCUAUUUUACCUACGCUUAGGAUGU
This 756-nucleotide ribosomal RNA is filed under the name uncultured Neocallimastigales. Its description in RNAcentral is "partial large subunit ribosomal RNA". It matches the Rfam family "Eukaryotic large subunit ribosomal RNA", at positions 26 to 626 of the family's 3401-position model. The record is from RNAcentral. Lineage: Eukaryota; Fungi; Neocallimastigomycota; Neocallimastigomycetes; Neocallimastigales.